UACGUAGGGUGCGAGCGUUGUCCGGAAUUACUGGGCGUAAAGAGCUCGUAGGCGGUUUGUCGCGUCUGCUGUGAAAACUCGGGGCUUAACUCCGGGCCUGCAGUGGGUACGGGCAGACUAGAGUGCGGUAGGGGAGACUGGAAUUCCUGGUGUAGCGGUGAAAUGCGCAGAUAUCAGGAGGAACACCGGUGGCGAAGGCGGGUCUCUGGGCCGUAACCGACGCUGAGGAGCGAAAGCGUGGGGAGCGAACAGG
RNAcentral lists this ribosomal RNA (253 nucleotides) under uncultured bacterium. RNAcentral describes it as "partial 16S ribosomal RNA". It matches the Rfam family "Bacterial small subunit ribosomal RNA", at positions 524 to 776 of the family's 1533-position model. The record is from RNAcentral.